CGUUCCAUGGCCAAACUGGCCAAGGCAACACCUAUUAUAGGCAAAGAUGCGGGUUUGAAUCCCGCUGGAACGG
RNAcentral lists this transfer RNA (73 nucleotides) under Operophtera brumata (winter moth). It matches the Rfam family "tRNA". From Rfam's summary of the family: Transfer RNA (tRNA) molecules are approximately 80 nucleotides in length. Their secondary structure includes four short double-helical elements and three loops (D, anti-codon, and T loops). The record is from Rfam by way of RNAcentral. Lineage: Eukaryota; Metazoa; Arthropoda; Insecta; Lepidoptera; Geometridae.